CGCGUAGGCGGGAUGGUAAGUCGGUCGUGAAAUCCCUCGGCUCAACCGAGGAACGUCGAUCGAUACUACCGUUCUUGAAAAGGAUUGCAGAGGAGACUGGAAUUCCCGGUGUAGCGGUGAAAUGUGUAGAGAUCGGGAGGAACACCGGUGGCGAAGGCGGGUCUCUGGCUCGUAACUGACGCUGAGACGCGAAAGCGUGGGUAGCAAACA
This 210-nucleotide ribosomal RNA is filed under the name uncultured bacterium. Its description in RNAcentral is "partial 16S ribosomal RNA". It matches the Rfam family "Bacterial small subunit ribosomal RNA", at positions 568 to 774 of the family's 1533-position model. The record is from RNAcentral.